GGGCUUUUGAUACGCUUGUGG
RNAcentral lists this non-coding RNA (21 nucleotides) under Arabidopsis thaliana (thale cress). The record is from RNAcentral. Lineage: Eukaryota; Viridiplantae; Streptophyta; Magnoliopsida; Brassicales; Brassicaceae.